AUAGUGUCAGUUUUCUUUUCGUCAACGAGAGUGAAAAUGCCUUGGUCAGAUAUUUUUUUCUGAAAGCGAAAUGCUCUGUCUGAAAAAUACAAAACCAUUACGAUGAUCUGUACGGUCAACUAGACGGGCUCAAACGGCAAUACGAUGCGAGCUGAAACAUGGAAAUCUAUGCUGACAAAUUUGCGAAGAUAAUGAGCUACUCAACUGGAAGCUUCAAGGCGACAGAACUUUUCAGAAAUUAUGAAAAUGUUUGGGAAAACAAAACCAAGAGUGCCAUGUCAAGCAUGAAGACACAGCUUCACAUAAACCCAGAACAAAUGCUAUAUGAGUCCAGAACCAGAAAUGAUAUUCUUCGGGACAUAAACACAAAUUUGGAUGAAGAACUCUCGCCUAACUUUUUGCUUUAAAAAAAGAAAUAUUUCAACGUUCAAUUAUUUCCAGAAAUCUUAAUCUGUAUUUACUGAUAUGACAUGAUGUGUAUAUUGUACUCUCUAAAUAUUAUAAAUAACUCUUAAUAAAUAUGAAUGUUC
Molecule: long non-coding RNA, 530 nt
Organism: Dreissena polymorpha
Lineage: Eukaryota; Metazoa; Mollusca; Bivalvia; Myida; Dreissenidae
Exons: 3
Source: RefSeq, a predicted model, not a curated record